GACGAACGCUGGCGGCGUGCCUAAUACAUGCAAGUUGAGCGCUGAAGGAUGGUACUUGUACCAACUGGAUGAGCAGCGAACGGGUGAGUAACGCGUGGGGAAUCUGCCUUUGAGCGGGGGACAACAUUUGGAAACGAAUGCUAAUACCGCAUAAAAACUUUAAACACAAGUUUUAAGUUUGAAAGAUGCAAUUGCAUCACUCAAAGAUGAUCCCGCGUUGUAUUAGCUAGUUGGUGAGGUAAAGGCUCACCAAGGCGAUGAUACAUAGCCGACCUGAGAGGGUGGACGGCCACAAUGGGACUGAGACACGGCCCAAACUCCUACGGGAGGCAGCAGUAGGGAAUCUUCGGCAAUGGACGAAAGUCUGACCGAGCAACGCCGCGGGAGUGAAGAAGGUUUUCGGAUCGUAAAACUCUGUUGGUAGAGAAGAACGUUGGUGAGAGUGGAAAGCUCAUCAAGUGACGGUAACUACCCAGAAAGGGACGGCUAACUACGUG
This 497-nucleotide ribosomal RNA is filed under the name uncultured bacterium. RNAcentral's name for it is "partial 16S ribosomal RNA". It matches the Rfam family "Bacterial small subunit ribosomal RNA", at positions 28 to 507 of the family's 1533-position model. The record is from RNAcentral.